CUGAGCAUCGCAUUGUUUUCAUUUUCUUAGACUUUGAAAUAUUCUUGUAUGUUGUAUGACGUGAGUGGUGACUGGUGUUGAGUGCCAGUAUGUACACAAGAAUUGACUUCUUCAUUUUAUACCACACCAGGAUUGACUUCAAGAAUUGACUUCUUCAUUUUAUACCACUCCAGGAUUGACUUCAAGAAUUGACUUCUUCAUUUUAUACCACACCAGGAGGUCUAAAACGUGCAUCUUGGCUACUCCGAAAAAUUGUAAUAAAUAUAAUAUGUAAGAGAGGUCGAAGUUUCUAAAAACAGACACCUUUUAAUACUUUUACAUGCUAUAAGCAGUAAGCACAUUUUAUAAAGAUAACCUUCAAUCUUAUUCAAAAGAAUUCUAUGGUAUCAAACGCAAAGAUUUGUUAAAACAGUUUGAUAGUGUACUGCAGUGUGACAUAUACGCAGGUGGGCUUUUCUGUGGAAUGAUCUGGAAUGCUGGGUUUAUGCAUAAAGGGGGUUGGGGUGGGGCUUAUAGGCACAGGUUUUAUAUGCAGAUAGAUUAUUCAUGAUUGUGUGCCUGUUUCUUGAUUACAUUACAUAUAGAAGAAAUCACUGAGAUCGGCGGAUAUUUCCAUGGAUGCAAUCCCAGGAGUUACCUUAUCAAAACAUAAUACAAAACAAUAGCUUUUGUGUUGUCACAGAGAUAAUUACAUGAUGCGAUUAAAUUGUUUCUAAAACAGAUUGAAAGUUUGAUGAAAAGACGCAAAAGAAAUGCGAAGCUAUGGAAGUUAAUCAAGGCAACGGUGCAAGAGAGGGUUGACGGGAUUGGAGAAUGUAGAGAAUAUGUGUCAAGGAAAGGCCUCUUUUGUUUUUUGUCAGAAGCAAACUGGAGAUUUAUUUUUUGAUGGAAUUAUUUCUGGCCUCCGGGACAAGGUGCAUGAAGAGCAAAGAAGUUUCGUUAUGCUGCAUGACAUUUGCAUCGAUAUUGUAAACAGAAAUAAUCUGUUGUCAAACUCAUCCACAAAUGGAGCACUUGAAAAUGCUUAUAUACUAACUAGACAAAUGUUAGUUUCAGUAAAAUACAAUCCGCACUAUAUAAAGACGACUUACAAAAACAAUCAAUUUUGUUUGUUACGUCUACGUAUCUUCGUACAGAUUAAGCCUCAGUCAUUUGUUGGUUAAAAGAACUGACCGUGAAGCAAAUAUAAUAGCGAAAACAUGUUACACAUAACAAAAAUAACGUUUAUUCUAAAGUCCAAAUUGAGCUGAGCGAAGAUUUAAAAGCUAAAUAUCAUUAAAAUGAAAAAAAUGUCAGUACACUAACCACUCAAUCGGUUUUUGAAUUAACUGUGGUGGUUGUGAACUGUUCAUUUAAACAUACACGCUGUUUGAAUGGGAAAGUCACAUGUUGUUAUACAUGUAAAAUGUAAUGCUAUUAUUUAAAUUAUAUUUAUUUUACAUGAUUACAGCAAAUGAAAA
Long non-coding RNA from Xenia sp. Carnegie-2017, 1460 nucleotides. RefSeq lists it as uncharacterized. The transcript is spliced from 3 exons. The record is from RefSeq and is a predicted model, not a curated record. Lineage: Eukaryota; Metazoa; Cnidaria; Anthozoa; Malacalcyonacea; Xeniidae.